GGAGACUGUAGCUCAGCGGUAGAGCAUCUGCUUCGUAUGCAUAAGGUCCCAAGUUCAAUCCCCGGCAUCUCCA
Molecule: non-coding RNA, 73 nt
Organism: Heteronotia binoei (common prickly gecko)
Lineage: Eukaryota; Metazoa; Chordata; Lepidosauria; Squamata; Gekkonidae
Source: the annotation of a RefSeq genome assembly